CCCUAGGGUUCCAUUAGGGACGGGGGCAGGGGGCAUGUGCUCUGAAUCUCAGAAAUGGUAACUGAGAUGUAUGAGUCCUGUGUCACCUUCCUUGUCACCUCUUGCAGACAAUAGGAGGCAAGACCACAGCCCCAAAGAUCCUGCACAGGGAGGAUCUCCAGAGGGGCUGUGUAGGAAGCGCUGUAUUAGAUGUGAGGACUGGCACGUGCAGGCAGAGAUGAAAUUUCACAGCUACGGCUGAUGCCUUAAAAAGCGAAUCUCUUAAGCAGCCUUUUUCAUCCUUGUGGCUCUUCUGCAUCUAUUUUGCUUUGGAUUUAAGGUCAGUGAAACUGUAUAGCACAGGAUAUUCAGGAACUACCUCUAAGGAUGCAGCUGCUUCCUUCACGGUGGAAACAGGGAAUUGGCCUGUGUUCUCCCGUCCGCGGGCGGCCCUGAGGAGCCAGCCUUGAGGAUUGGGGAUGAGCAGAAGCUGACCCCGCCUGCAGGGCAGUGCCCUCGGGGUGGAUGUGUAUUCCUGGCAUUUAGGAGAACACCUCUCUCUCAAGAUUUAUGACUUCAUUUCAUGUUUUAAUGCUUUCUGUCACAAUUCCAAGCCACGGUGACUGAUGGGCAGCGUGGAAAGGGGAAGCGCGCUCUAGUGGAAACAGCCCAGAAGGGUUUGAAGUGAACGAGCACUUACUCAGCAAACAUCUCCCGAGCACCUACCAUACCCUCCUUGCUGACUCCCAGGAAGGCAGAGAGCCAUAGCCUCUGGAAGGACACUCUGAAGGCUCUUGCAAUGCCAGACCUCCUGGGAGAAUGAAGGCAAUCCUUCCAGUGGGGCGAGGUUGGGGGCAGAGUAGCAUCUUAGAGGAGCUCCAGUUCAUGCCAGCCCCUCCCCAACCAGCAGUGAAGCUUCAGAAAAACUGAGCCCGGGAGCUGACCCAGGGCUGAGAGAGCCAAGGAUCAGCUCUUUGCUCUUUCCUGAUUCUAGAUGCUAAAUCCUGCAUGUCCCCAAGCACCCACCAGUUAGACCUGACUCUGGCCCUGCUGAUGUCUGCCCAACCUCAUCCCUCUGCCACCAAGACAGCCUCCCCAUAGGCCACCUAAAACCUCUUGCCAAAGAGCCAGAAGCCCCGCCUUGAGGAGCGUGGUGUCCCUGCUCCAGCCUCUCCUUUGAAAUAAAUGUAUUCAAUACAAAGAUACAAAAUGGAUGAAACAGUUGUUUUUAAAUGCUGAUUUCAUGCCCCUCCCAAAGGCACUCUUUUGUUCUGUUUAAUUUUUACAUCACAUCGACAAUAACAAACUCUAGGGCGGAUUCAUCAAAGGAAACUGAUAAUUGCUAACUGUACAUUUUAUUUGGUUCAUUAUUUUGUUAACACCUGAUUCUGAAAAAUACUCCUUCUGAAUGGGCUGGAAGCGGCAUAAAAAUUAGGAGCAACAAAGAGAUCUUUUCUCUUGCAUUGAAAUAGGUUUAUGACCUGCCAGCUACAGUAAGUGUGUGGGACUCCCUUUGUGACAGCCAGUAACAUGUAGCAAGCCUCUCUCCACCUGCCUCCAGGUAAACAAACAUCUUCUAACCAAAGGGCUGCGUUCUGUUUUGCUCUGCAGAAAUGUACCCCUGUUGUGCUGGUUAGGAUUCCAGGUGGGUGGAAACUAGAGUACCUGGGACGUGGAGUCAAAAAGUGGACCUGGGGCAGCGCUCCCCCCCAAAAAAGGGCAACAAGGUGUAGGCUGUCCUAAGGGUUGGUUGAAGAGGCCAUACUGGGGGAUCCCAAAAUCACUGAGAGAGUGGAAAGUGUGUGUGUGAUUCAUUCCAUGUUUAUGAAGUACUUCCGGUGUACACAGUCAGCAGCUGAAUUCAGAUGUAUAUCAUUGGUGGGUAUUGGAUACAUCUGGAUGCCUCCCAGCAUCAUUAAACUCCCUCCCAGUGUUUGGGGAAGUUCCCUGUUUUAGGAUCCUAUGCCUCCUCAAGGUAGAAGCUAGACUCCCUCUUGCCCAGCAGCUCUUGUUGAUAAGGUACAGGCAGGAGAUGGUGCUCACCAGCCUGACACCCACAUGAGACUUUGAUUGGGAAGCUAAUGCCAUGAAGUGAUGGCACGUGGAACCCAUUCUGCUGAGCCCAGUGGCAGACUGACCAGCUCCCAGUGAUGAAGGUUCCAAAUAGCUUCCGAGCCCCUUACUUGGGUGCGUGACCGUGGUAUUUGUAGCAGGGAUGUAUUCUAUUGGUGAGAGAAACCAGUUGCUAUUCUUUGCUGCUGGGCCUUCAGGUUUGUUCCUCUGGACUGCUCAGAUUCUGUGAGUUGAUCUGAUAUGCUUGAGCAAAUUCCUUUUCUACUGAAACUGGCUAGAAUGAGUUUCUGAUGUUUGCUACUGGAAGCCAAAGCGUACUCAUAGCUCUGUAUACUGCAAAUGACAGAGGCCCAAGGACAUUUGCUGGAUUGUGAAAUUGAAAACAUCCAGGAGUAUGUGGCUUCAGAUAGGGUUAGAUAUACAGGGAUUGGGACCAGGUAUAUAAUUUGCAAGGCCCCAAACAAAAUGAAAAUGCAGGGCCCUUUUUUUAAAAAUGGUAUUAAAAGUUUCAAGAUGACAAUAGAAGAGCAUUGAGCCAAGUAUAGGGCCCUUCUAACUGCAGAGCUCUAUGACCACAUGGAUUGCAUGCCCAUAAAGCUGGCCCUGCCAAGGGCUCAGUCAUUGUCACCAGGACCCCUGUGUCUUUCUACCUCUUGGUUCUGCCAAGUCCCACCUGAUCCCUUGCCUGCCCACACACUCCAGUGUUCAAGAGGGAAAGGCCUGUCUGAAUUCACACAGUUAAGGCUCCCAGACCAGUUGUACCCACAGCGUGCUCAGGCAUGCAGUCCGCCAGCACACUGAUUAGCCUGGUAUGUGGACUAUGGACUUAGUUCCAGCCCCCAAAAGCAGCCUCUGCCAUGAGGAUUAGUGCGCAGGGGAUUUCUAAAGGAAGUGCUCUCAGGCAAGCUGGGAAGUAGGACAGGGAAGGGGAGGAAACUAAGCAAAGAUGUGAGCGCCCGCAGAGGUCCUCAGAGGGAGGGGCCUUGCCUGAUCCUACAAGGAGCUCUAGAGUGUGAGUGAUGCCUCAGAGUUGGUUGCACCUGAGACAAGGAAGCUGGCAUUUCAGUGCUCCCUGUGUGGGCCCCCCAGUCACUGAUUAAGGGCCACUCCCCAUGUGGGUGUGGCAUGUCCAGUUCCCGGGCACUGCUGGCUCUCUGUGGUAUGGACAACAUGGGUCCCAGUAGACUGUGGGCUGACUUCAGAGAAAGAAACUCAAGUGCCAGCUUUUGGAGGUUAACACCAAAGUGAAGGGAGGCGUCCCACAAUGGUACAGGCAAUCUAAGAUGUGGGCAGAGCACAGCCCUGGAUUCAAUGACAUCCCAGCAUAUGGACCCUACCUGUGGCUGGCCUGAAAAAAUCCUGAGUAUCUGACCCCAAAGUUCCACUGGGAACAUUCCUGUGUGAUCCUUUCAGCCAGUGAAUCAGGAAGUACCAGGUGCUGGGCGAGUGGUGAUUAGAAGAUGAUGUGUAUUUCUGAGCUUUUAUUUACCCUAAUAUUUUAAAAAUUAAUCUUAGACCACCUGAGCAUGUAGUACAAAACUUAUAUUCCCUAUUUUGAAGUGAAUGAAUUGCAUCACAAUGGCUUGUAAGAACUGUGUGAGGUUCUGAGUCAGUCACAGGAACAAACUUUGCACAAACUCUGCUCACCUCCUUUGACACCUGCACUUAGUCACAAGUGAACACAUGUUGCUCUUGAAAGAUGCAUAUUAUUAGAUUCACUAAGGAUGGAAUCCUAGAAGAAUAAGAUUACUUUUUAACAGUCAAAUCUAUGAAUACAUUUUCAUAAUAGCUGUGUGGAUGUGUAAUUCACAUACCCUACAAUUUCCCUAUUUAAAGUGUACAUUUCAGUCAUUUUUUAGUAUAUUCAUAAAACUUGGCAACAAGCACCACAGUCAAGUUUAGAAAGUUGGUGUCACUCUAAAAAGAAAGCCCAUAUCCAUUAGCAUUCUUCAUUCCUACCCUCCGAACCCCUAGUCCUAAGCAAAAAAGUUUUAGGGCUGGUGCACCAUCCCUCUUGUUCCUAAUUUCAAGAACCAUCCAGAAAGCCCUAUGAGAAAGAAAGCUCUGGAAAGUCCCGCAUUAUCUACACAUGCCUGGGAGAGUCAUGACUUUGGAGAGCCUUUCUGAUUGCCGGCUCAGUGACUGGCAAGUCAACAGAAAGAGAAACGGAAUGGCUCUAGCAACUCAGUUGAGCCAUGCAGAUAAAUCGGGCCCGGGUGACAUCCAUGGCUGUCCUGAGACCUGAGAGCAGCAGUCUCCUCCAGCACAUGAGGCAGAGGUGUGGCCUGUUUCCUUCCUGAACACCGAGGGGACCUCAAGUCACUUCCUAAAGAGGUUCUGCAGCUCCAAAUUCCAGCUUGGGCAAAACAGGGCAUUCUGUACACAGAAAGCUGGCCAUGCUGGUUGGACCAAUUUAUAUACUUCUUUUUUUUCUUUCUUUCUUUUUUUAAAAGCCACCUUGCCUUUUUGGAGAAAUGAGCAAGGGAACACUCAGCUAAGCAUAUUAAAAAACCUUUAAGAAAUAAAUUAACAACAUGAAGAAGGGAUUUAUGUCUAAUCAAACAUAUUUUUAAAAAUUCUUCUAAGCGAUGGAAGGAGUUUAGAAAAAAAUUAUCUAUGAGACCAAAGAUUAUGAAGUCACAUAAUACCUGCAUGUACCUUUGCUGUAAUAAAAAUCUUGGCUAGAGUGUAGUGUGACCAAGGCUACAGUAUAGUGUGACCAAGUGAGGUACAUUAAGUAAACACUCAUUUGAAGACCUUUCCACUGGAACAUAGGAAUGAAGCGGUGAAAAGAAUAUGUGUUCUGAACAUCACGUUGGUCCCAUUAAGAGGGCUCUGUGAUCACAUUAUUAUGUGCUUUGUCUUCAGAGACUUCCCUGUCUUUUUCACCCAUAUGCAGAAAGAGUCCUCUCCAUCUCAUUAUCAGGCUCCGGGAGCCCGAUCUCUCUGAUGUGUCUCCCUCCCUCACUUUGGAGCUUGACUUCCUUGAGAUCUGUCAUUGUCACCUUUAUUAUAAUGGAGUCUUACAAUCCCACAGCUAGUGACACUCAGGGGAGGAGUAUUCUGAUGAGGAGGGUGGGGGUGCCUGGAGGAGAUGUGUGUGAUGAAGUUUCCACAGAGGCGACACUGCAAACCCGAGGGAAGAAUGAAGGACUGGUAGGGAGGUGGGCAUUUCGCCACCCAAUUCCCCUCCCCUGGUGUCGUGCAAGAAGAAGGCAGAAAGGCCGUGGAGAAUGUCCAGGACAGUGGAGCCUGCAUUAUUGUAGUCGCAGCAGGCAGGAAAAUUCUCUCAUUAGGAGAGGCCAGCAGAGUCUGGUACCCCCAGAGGCAGUUGAGUGAAUAGGUAGAGGUGAGCAUUUUCUUUAUAUCACAUGUGGGCAAAGGGAGCUAAAAGGCCUGUGGGAGGAAGGAAGGAUCACUGGUUUCCUUUCCUCUCACUGCCCGACUCAAUGUUAACCAGGUCAAUAGAACAUGAGCUUCUUUCAUUCUAAGAAGAUGCUAGCCCUCCAUGGGUUCUGCUUAAGUAAGAGAAGGCCAAAGGUCAUUGAGUAUGAUUCACCCACACUGAGGGGGCAGAAGUGACCUAGAAUGCCAUAAAAAAAAAGCACCAGAAGUACAAGAGCAAUAUUUUUAGAAACAUGCCUAAGGGAUAGCCAAACAAAAAGGCAGCAACCAAUCAAAAAAGGUUUAAUCCUUCCAGUUAUCUACUUUCACCAAAACAAUAGAAAUUAAUCAAGUUCAUGUGCAUAUGUGAUUUGCGGGACUUGUUUAGCAUUCUAUAGAUGAAUAUAGAUCACAUCUAUCUGUCUCUAUCUAUCUAUCUAUCUAUCUAUCUAUCUAUCUAUCUAUCUUCUAUCUAUUUUUGAUAUUUUUCUCCCUAAGAGUGAACAACUCUCAAAACAAAAGUAAAUUUAAAACAUACACUGCAACGUGCUGUGUGGCAGAAGGACCCCACAGAUUUAUAAAAUUGCUUGUGUCAUGCUCAGUCUUUUUCAUUACUUUUUGAGGCUACAAUGAAAAACACGCUACAAUCUUUGAGGAGAAAUCGAGUCCAGUAUCAUAUGAAAAUGGCACAUAAGUUGCUCUGCCAUUGGAAC
RNAcentral lists this long non-coding RNA (6149 nucleotides) under Sus scrofa (pig). RNAcentral describes it as "lncRNA (ENSSSCG00000059020.1)". Lineage: Eukaryota; Metazoa; Chordata; Mammalia; Artiodactyla; Suidae. The record is from RNAcentral.